This 240-nucleotide unclassified non-coding RNA is filed under the name soil metagenome. Its description in RNAcentral is "partial contains 5.8S ribosomal RNA, internal transcribed spacer 2, and large subunit ribosomal RNA". The record is from RNAcentral.
AACCUAGCACACCUGCGGUGUGUAUCUGCGGAGGGAUCAUUAACCUUUCAAAUCAGGGUGCGGCGCGGCCCCCGAGGAGCGGAAACAAUCCUUGGGAGGUAUGCGGGGGCUUCGAGCCCCCCAUUUACGCACGCACGACUGCCAUCCUUACUUUACGAGCACCUUCUGUUCUCCCUCGGCGGGGCAACCUGCCGUUGGAACCGAAUAAACUCUUUUUGCAUCUAGCAUUACCUGUUCCGA